AUGCCGCAGGAGGGUCAUGCAGCACGGCGGCCGCCGUUUCUGAUAAGGAAGCUCAAAGGAAGCAAGACUUCAACAAAAAUCUCUAAAUGCAUUCCAAGCUUCUGUAAGGCGUACGUCAUUUCAAAGGGCAAAUUGUCAUUCGUGCACUCUACACCUGAUGCCUGCGAAACAGCCAAGACCAUAUCUUCUUCAACUAUUUCUUCUCCUAGCUCCGGAAGCCUUUCCACUGCGCCCUCAGCAGAGUGGGCUGACAGAAAUGGAACGUCAGCUGUAUUAUUCCGCCAGUCAUCUCUGCCAUCGCAACGUGAUCACACACUCGUAAAUAUAAACAGGUCAAUCCUGAAGCUAGCCCUUCAGGCAGUGCUGGCAGCGAGAUCUCUUACCAUGUUGAUACAACCCUGA
RNAcentral lists this ribosomal RNA (402 nucleotides) under Triticum aestivum (bread wheat). RNAcentral describes it as "partial small subunit ribosomal RNA". The record is from RNAcentral. Lineage: Eukaryota; Viridiplantae; Streptophyta; Magnoliopsida; Poales; Poaceae.